RNAcentral lists this long non-coding RNA (1916 nucleotides) under Heterocephalus glaber (naked mole-rat). RNAcentral's name for it is "lncRNA (ENSHGLG00100037331.1)". Lineage: Eukaryota; Metazoa; Chordata; Mammalia; Rodentia; Bathyergidae. The record is from RNAcentral.
GACAUGUGCUAGCAUGGUGUGCAACAAAGAAUAUUGUACAGGCUGCUACAUCUGACCUGUCCCCUUUCAGGCCUGACUGACCAGCCUCAUCUGCUGUCUUACCUGAGUGGAUAUGUCACCCUCGGUCAGUACUGGAAACAAAGCAGACUGUGAAAUUUGGGUUUCUUAACAUGUAAAGUCAACUUCACAUUCAACUUAAGUGGGGUUUUUUUUGUACUUUUUCUUCUUUAUGCCCUUUUAGGAAAACAUAGUUUUGGGGUUUUUUUGUUUUGUUUUUGGUACUGGGGAUUGAACUGGGGUCCUUGCGCUUGUGCAGCAGGCGGCGAAACCAAGUUUUGGGUUUUUGUUUGUUUGUCUUUGAGACAGGAUCUUACUUACUAUGUUGUUCAGACUGGCCUUAAACUCCUGGCCUCAAGUGAUGCUCCUGCCUUGGCCGCCCAAGGAACUGGUACUACAGGCCUGUGCCACUGUGCCUGGCUCCUUUCAGAAUAGCAAGGAUAAAAUCAAAGUGAAUUACUCAUGAAUUCAACAACAGUUAUUGACCAUUAAAAUGUAGAGAUCCAGCAGUUUCUGUCCUAAAAUCCAUUGUGAUCUAAUGGAUUGUAUUAGCUUUAAAGUUGUCAAUUAGUUAAUGUGAUAUAUUAAAUAUAGGUGAUGUAUGCAGAAUAGUGGGGCACACCUCCAAUCCCAGGAUUAGAAGUCCCAAGAGAGGGGGCAGGAUGAUUGAAAGUUUGACCCAGCCUAGGCGCCCCAGGAAUUUAGUGAGACACUGUCUCAAAAAAAUAAAAAUGUGGGCCAGGGAGUUAGCUCAGUGGUGCCACCACCUGUCUUGCAAGCGCAAGGAUCCGAGUUCAAUCCCCAGUACCAAAAAAUAAAAAAUAAAAAAUAAAAAAAAUAAUUAAAAAGGUGGAGGAUAUAGGUCAGUGUAAAGGCCCUGGUCUGUGCUCAAUCCUGAGUACUACAAAAAACCAAAAACCAUAGAAUAUAGGCUAUACAAUUGCUCUCUUACAUAUAGAAAGUCUGCAUAUGAGUAAUUACAAAAUCUUGAUGGCACAGCUCAGCUGGAAUCCAACAUUACUGAUUCCCAAUUUAUACCAUUGUUUUGAAGUUUGCUUGUAUGUUGGGUGUUAGAGAAUUCAUGGCACAAGAAUGUAUGAAAGCCACCAUGUACCUGAAAUUUGAAGGGAAAAUAAUGCUUUUGCUGUACUUGUAAUAACAUAAAAUGAAACAAUGAUAUGAGAAAUUAUUCAUUUUAGAAAUUGGUAUUCAAGUAAAAGUAGGUGCUGUGGUUUGAAUGUGUCUUUCAAAACUCACAUUAGAGACUGAAUUUUCAGUGUGGCAAUGUUGAGAUGUGAGAACUAACUAGGUAGUCAAGUCGUGAAUGAAUUAAUGCCUAUUAUAAAUGGGCUUGAGAGCUGGGCAUGGUAGCUCAUGUCUGUAAUCCUGGCACUCAGGAAGCUGAGGCAGGAGGAUUGCCUCAAGUUUGAGGCCAGACUGGGCCAUGUAGUGAGUUCAAGUCCUGCCUAAAUUACAUAUGAGACUUUGUCUCAAAACAUCAUAAAAUGGGGGGAGGGGAAUCAAGGCUGAGUCCAACCUCUUUCUCUUUUCCAUGUGAUGCAUCUGCCAUGUUAUGACACAACAAGAAGGCCUCACUAGAUGCAGCCCUUGAUCUUGAACUCCCAUCCUCUGCAAUUAAGCAAGUUCUGAGGGGGAGAACUGUGCUCCAAAAUAAUCAAAGAUUAUUGGAAGGGAGACAGGUGAGGUGUUGUCAGCAAAAGAGAAACAAGAGAAAUGGGUAGCAUCAAAUGUGUGUGUGUCUGUAUGUGUGUAAAUUGACAGAUGAUUCUAAUAUUUACACAGAAAUGCUAAGGAUCAAAAAAUAGUCAAGGUAAUAUUGAAGAAAAGGAAGAAAGUUG